GGUGUAGGCUGUAUUACAUGGAUUUAUUGUGAAGGUGUAGGCUGUAUUACAUGGAUUUAUUGUGAAGGUGUAGGCUAUAUUACAUAGAUUUAUUGUGAAGGUGUAGGCUGUAUUACAUGGAUUUAUUGUGAAGGUGUAGGCUGUAUUACAUGGAUUUAUUGUGAAGGUGUAGGCUGUAUUACAUGGAUUUAUUGUGAAGGUGUAGGCUGUAUUACAUGGAUUUAUUGUGAAGGUGUAGGCUGUAUUACAUGGAUUUAUUGUGAAGGUGUAGGCUGUAUUACAUGGAUUUAUUGUGAAGGUGUAGGCUAUAUUACAUGGAUUUAUUACAGUUUUUAAAAUGUAGAUGUUCCAAAAGUCUGCAUCAGUGGCUUGUAGACUAUGUGUGGAAGCCAGGAGAUGCUAAAUGUGUUUAUGUUAAUUACCGUGAGUUAUUUGCUUGACAAUCACCGGCUGAUGAAAUUUUGCGACCACCACAACCAUAGUCUCUCCAGAUUUGUUUGAUCGGGUUCAAGUCCUUGCUCUGGCCGGGCCACUCAAGGACAUUCAGAAACUUGUCCCGAAGCCACACUUGCGUUGUCUUGGCUGUCUUUAUACUGUUGGAAGUUGAACCUUCCUAUAGGCUGGAGAUCAGUAAACCAUAGUGAUCUUUGUCA
Molecule: long non-coding RNA, 653 nt
Organism: Oncorhynchus keta (chum salmon)
Lineage: Eukaryota; Metazoa; Chordata; Actinopteri; Salmoniformes; Salmonidae
Exons: 3
Source: RefSeq, a predicted model, not a curated record